CCUACGGGUGGCAGCAGUGAGGAAUAUUGGUCAAUGGACGCAAGUCUGAACCAGCCAUGCCGCGUGCAGGAAGACGGCUCUAUGAGUUGUAAACUGCUUUUGUACGAGGGUAAACGCAGAUACGUGUAUCUGUCUGAAAGUAUCGUACGAAUAAGGAUCGGCUAACUCCGUGCCAGCCGCCGCGGUAAUACGGAGGCUUCAAGCGUUAUCCGGAUUUAUUGGGUUUAAAGGGUGCGUAGGCGGUCGGAUAAGUUAGAGGUGAAAUCCCGAGGCUCAACUUCGGAAUUGCCUCUGAUACUGUUCGGCGAGAGAGUAGUUGCGGUAGGCGGAAGGUAUGGUGUAGCGGUGAAAUGCUGAGAGAUCAGACAGAACACCGAUUGCGAAGGCAGCUUACCAAGCUACUGCUGACGUUGAGGCACGAAAGCGUGGGGAGCAAACAGGAUUAGAUACCCUUGUAGUC
Molecule: ribosomal RNA, 460 nt
Filed under: uncultured bacterium
Lineage: Bacteria
Description: partial 16S ribosomal RNA
Rfam family: Bacterial small subunit ribosomal RNA
Source: RNAcentral